UCUUUCAUAAUAACACAUUUUGUAAUAUAUGUGUCCUGACAGACUUCAUGGAUGUACAUCUCAGAGACUGAUUGUGAAGUCGUGGCCUCAGCUCUGAAGUCCAACCCCUCCCACCUGAGAGAGCUGCACCUGGAUAUAAUAUCACUGAAGGAUUCAGCAGUGAAGCUGCUGUGUGCUGGACUGCAGAGUCCAAACUGUAGACUGGAGACGCUGAGAUUGAGGGUCUACAGGCUGUCAGAGAUCAGCUGGGCUUCUCUGUUCUCAGCUCUGAAGUCCAACCCCCCCCUCCUGAGAGAAGCUGGAGCUGUGGAACAUCAAGCCUGCAGGAUUCAUCAGUGAAGCUGCUGUGUGACCUUCUGGAGAGUCCAGACUGCAGACUGGAGACUCUCAGGAUCGAUGACGAGUUGAUCACAGCUGAGAAACACACAACAUGUGAGUAUUGCAGCAUAUCCUCCAUUCAUCCAGAUAUUACAUGAACAUCUGAUCUUAAAAUGAGAUGCCCUCAUCGUACACAAACUACUUUCAAUUGUGUUUCUGUUUGAUAUAUAAAAUAUAUAUUCUAUUUCUAAAAUA
Molecule: long non-coding RNA, 573 nt
Filed under: Cottoperca gobio
Lineage: Eukaryota; Metazoa; Chordata; Actinopteri; Perciformes; Bovichtidae
Description: lncRNA (ENSCGOG00000005508.1)
Source: RNAcentral